This 253-nucleotide ribosomal RNA is filed under the name uncultured bacterium. RNAcentral's name for it is "partial 16S ribosomal RNA". It matches the Rfam family "Bacterial small subunit ribosomal RNA", at positions 524 to 776 of the family's 1533-position model. The record is from RNAcentral.
UACGAAGGGUGCAAACGUUGCUCGGAAUUAUUGGGCGUAAAGCGCGCGUAGACGGCUUGGCAAGUCGGAUGUGAAAUCCCUCGGCUCAACCAAGGAAAUGCAUCCGAAACUGCUGAGCUUGAGUACUUAAGAGGAUCGCGGAAUUCCCAAUAUAAAAAUGAAAUUCGUAGAUAUCGGGAGGAACACCAAUGACGAAGGCAACGAUCUGGGAAGAUACUGACGCUGAGAUGCGAAAACGUGGGGAGCAAACAGG